AGAUCGCACCACUGCACUCCAGCCUGGGCGACAGAACCAGACUCCGUCUCAAAAAAAAAAAGAAGCGGAAUGGGCCAGGCGCGGUGGCUCACGCCUGUGAUCCCAGCACUUUGGCAGGCAAAGGUGGGCGGAUUGUCUGAGGUCGGGAGUUCUAGACCAGCCUGACCAACAUGGGGAAACCCCGUAUCUACUAAAAAAAAUACAAAAUUAGCCGGGCGUGGUGGCGCAUGACUGUAAUCCCAGCUACUUGGGAGGCUGAGGCAGAAUUGCUUGAACCAGGAGGCGGAGGUUGCAGUGAGCCAAGAUCGCACCAUUGCACUCCAGCGUGGGCAACAAGAGCGAGACUCCAUCUCAAAAGAAAAAAAAAAAGGGAAUGAACAUGUGUCUGUGAAUGUCUUUGCUUCUGUAUGUACAGAAUCUUUUUACAAAGACACAUAAGAAACAAGCAAUGUUGGCUGCUGGAGAGUAAGACUGUGUGGCCAAGGCAGGGAAGGGGCAUUCCAUUGUAUACUGUCUUGUGCCUUUUGAAUUUCCUAACAUAUGAAUGUAUUAGCUAUUCAGAAUAGUCUCCUGAUGAAGACAUAAAGACCUCUCUGAGCCAGGUGUGGUGGCUUGAGCCUGUAAUCGCAGCUACUUGGAAAGCUGAAGCAGGAGGAUCACUUGAGGUCAGGAGUUCAAGACCAGCCUGGGCAAAACAGCAAAACCCUGUCCUUUAAAUAAAUAAAGCAAGACUCCAUUUCAUAAAUAAAUAGAUAAAUAGAUAGAUAAGCCUCUCUGGCUGCAAAGAAAAGGCACAGUUUUAUUCCCAAGAUUCUUUUUUUUUUUUUGAGACUGGGUCUUACCCCCAUUGGCCAGACUGGUGUGCACUGGCACCAUCUCAGCUAACUGCAGCCUUGACUUCCCUGGCUUGGGUGAUUCUCCCACCUCAGCCUCCCAAGUAGCUGGGACUACAGGUAUGCGCCACCAUGACCAGCUAGUUUUUUGUAUUAUUUUUUAGUAGAGACGGGGUUUUGCCAUGUUGCCCAGGAUGGUCUCGAACUCUUGGACUCAAACAAUCCACCUGCCUUGGCCUCCCAAAGUGCUGAGAUUACAGGCAUGAGCGACUGCGCCUGGCUAAGAAGAUUCUAAAAACUCAGGAGUUGGAGGUACCUGGUACUUCUGGCCAUGCAGAUGAAUGAGCAGGGCACCAGCCAGGCUGGAGAGGCUGUUUCAGAAGCAGAUGCUGGGCAGGGCUGCUGCUGUGGGCUCUGCACAGAAUUCUGAGCCAACAGUAUGCACUGCCAUGACUGACUUCUGGAUUUCUUCUCCUAUCCUGGCGGAAGGCUAUGUUAAGGGUGAGAAACCGUACUGAGAAAGUCAGGGUUAUUAGGUAAACAGUCCCAUUGGAUGCUGAGAUGUCAAUUUCUCUCCCAAGGAUGCUGGCAGGAGGCUGAAGUUACCUUCUUGUAGGAUUCAGACGAUGGAACGAAACAUGCUUACGGUGGAGAGUGCCCCCAAACUGGCCUAGCCACAUUGCCCUAUGGAUCUGUUUGCAGCAUCCACUCAUACUCAAGCUGCUUGCUCAUAUACCCUAAGAAAAGGGUCUCCUUGGGGAUUGGGGUUCCCCCAUUUCCCCUUCCAGCCAGUAAGCCCCACAUCUACCUGCUCAGAGCUGUCAGCCAGAUUUGUGGUGCCUCUCUCUUGCAUAUAAGCCAACAACUAGGAGAGAAUAGAAAUCACACUGUUUUUUUUAAAAAAGUUACUGCUGUUCUCAGAGAAAUAAGGAAAGACAUUGUAAAUGAAAGAACAGGAGGCAGCUAAAAAGAUGAACAUUCAGAGAAUGAAAACACUCUUGGAAAUUAAAAACAUGCCACAAGAGACCAGAUGAAGUAGCUCAUGCCUGUAAUCCCAGCACUCUGGGAGGCCGAGGUGGGAGGAGCACUUGAGGCCAGGAAUUUAAGACCAGCCCUGGCAACAUAGUGAGAACCUGUUUCUACAAAAAAAUAAAAAAAUUAAACAUGAGCCAGGUACAGUGACACAUGCCUGCAGUCCCAGAUACUUGGGAGGCUGAGGUGAGAGGAUCACUUGAGCCCAGGAGUUCGAGGUUACAGGGAGCUAUGAUGGCACCACUGUGCUCUAGUCUGUGUGAAACAGUGAGACCCCCCCCUCCACCGCAAAAAAAAAGCUACCAGAAAUGAAAAUCUUAACAGAAGGUCUGAAAGAUACAAAUGAGAAAAUUUCCAGGAAAAUAGAGUAGAAAGACAAAGGAAUGGAAAAUUGGAGUGAAAAGAUAAGAACAUUAAAGGACCCAUCCCAGAUGCCAACAGCCAAGUAACAGGCAUCCCAGAAACGGAGCAGAGCAAUAGAAGGGAAGGAAAUGAAAUAAACAUUUCAAGGCAGUUUCCCAGAACUGACAGAUGUGAAUUUCAAACUGAAAAGGCUCACUAACAAUAGUGAUAAAAAAAGGUCUGUGACUGUAUUAAUAAAAAGAAUUCUUCCAGCCAAACUUCAAUCUAAUGUUGAGGGCUAGACAAUGUGUUUCAGAUAUGGGACAUGUCAGAAUUUUAUCUUCCACACCAGAACACCCAGAAAGCUCCACCAAAACAAAGGUGUGAACUAAGAAAGAGGAGACCCUGGGUCUCAGGAACAGGAAGGAACAGAACAGAAGAUGGGGUAUAGGGGGAGCCUGGAUGAUGCCAGACAAAGGUGGUGGCUGAGAGGUAGAUGGCAGGGGGCCUCUGGUCCGUAAUGCCUGGAUGAUUGGGCAGGAUCCCUAUCCUUUGUCAAGAUCCCUCCUGCCCACCUGCUCGUCUACUAACCUGCUGUCCUUGUUAGGUCCCAGCCCUACCUGUCCUGAUGCCUGACCAGCAGGAUGCAAGCCCAGGAGGCCAUCCAAGAUACCAGGACUGGGAGAGAAUGCCCAGUGGUGAUUCCUGCAUAGUCCUAGGAGGUGUCUUGGGCCCAGGCUCUGGAGUUGGAGGCUCAGUUUGAGCCUUGCACAGGGUCUCUGUUGCAGGUGGCCACUUCUGUACCACAAGGGAUAACGUGUGUCUGGCAAAGCGUGGUGCUACCCAGGGUGAGGCCGAGCUGGAUGAUGCUCCAGUCCUGAACCCCACUCAUGGACACUCACUCACCCAUCUCCGAGGUCCGCCUGGCUCCCGGCGCAGCCCAUCUACUAGGGCAGCAGCCUCCUCGGGGCUGCCUGGCCGCUGCCCCUGCACACAGGCCUGGAUCUCAGGGGGCAGUGCGCCCAGGAACUGCUCCAGCACCAACAGCUCCAGCAUCUGCUCCUUGGAGCGUACCUCUGGACGCAGCCACUGGCGACACAGCUCUCGGAGCUGGGCCAGGGCCUCUUGGGGCCCUGUGGCCUCCUCAUAGCGGAAGCACCGGAAACGCAGGCGUGCAGCUUCAGGGCCUGGGUCCCAUAGGGCAGCCUCACCCUCCUCCUCAGAGUCCUCUAGCUUCACCAUGACAGGCCCCUCAUCUUCUGGGGGUGCUCGGUCUGGGGAGCCCAGCACCGCUGGCCUCAUAGAGGGUACCAGGUCAGGUAUCUGAGGCCAGUGUCUGCCCCUGGUGAAGAAAUAGGAUGAGGCUGUUGCAACAGGAAUAAACAGUGAAUGCUUCA
Pongo pygmaeus (Bornean orangutan) is the source of this 3604-nucleotide long non-coding RNA. RefSeq lists it as uncharacterized. The transcript is spliced from 3 exons. The record is from RefSeq and is a predicted model, not a curated record. Lineage: Eukaryota; Metazoa; Chordata; Mammalia; Primates; Hominidae.